UUNGUGGUUCUAUUUUGUUGGUUUCUAGGACCGCCGUAAUGAUUAAUAGGGACAGUCGGGGGCAUCAGUAUUCAAUUGUCAGAGGUGAAAUUCUUAGAUUUAUUGAAGACUAACUACUGCGAAAGCAUUUGCCAAGGAUGUUUUCAUUAAUCAGGAACGAAAGUUAGGGGAUCGAAGACGAUCAGAUACCGUCGUAGUCUUAACCAUAAACUAUGCCGACUAGGGAUCGGACGAUGUUAUUUUUUGACGCGUUCGGCACCUUACGAGAAAUCAAAGUGCUUGGGCUCCAGGGGGAGUAUGGUCGCAAGGCUGAAACUUAAAGAAAUUGACGGAAGGGCACCACCAGGGGUAAACCGCUUCAUGCAGCCGCAGUAGCUCUGCUCCAAAAAGCAGCCCGAAAGGGUCAGUGGUGUUCCUGUCCGCGCUACGGCGCGGCGAACUAAGUGCUAGUCUCUCCGGAGGCGACACCCUCAAAUUGCGGGAAACUUCUAAAACCAGUGCCACCAAGCCGGCGUCGAAAAGGCGUCGGUGGCCGGGGCAAUGACCUAGGGUAUGGUAAAAGCGCACUGGAUAUAUGGACAAUCCGCAGCCAAGCCUCGUCACGGGGAAGGUUCAGAGACUAAAUGGGGGUGGGUAGUGUGCUGGAGGAUUCGUCCCCCGAGCGCUCGCUCACACACUGCUUAAGAUAUAGUCCGCCCGCGCUGGAAACGGCGCGGAUUAGCAAGCUCAAAUAAACGGGAGCCUGCGGCUUAAUUUGACUCAACACGGGGAAACUCACCAGGUCCAGACACAAUGAGGA
This 799-nucleotide non-coding RNA is filed under the name uncultured Ascomycota. RNAcentral's name for it is "partial 18S ribosomal RNA". It matches the Rfam family "Eukaryotic small subunit ribosomal RNA", at positions 827 to 1239 of the family's 1831-position model. Lineage: Eukaryota; Fungi; Ascomycota. The record is from RNAcentral.